AAGAAACAAGGAUUUUUUUUUUAUUUUACUAUAUCGGGUUCGGAUACCAGACUCCACAUACUCCAUUUUCAUUAAAUUUUCAGCAAAAAUACAAGAAAAGGGGUUGUGUGGUAUGUGGAUAGUACAAAUUAGGUUCGUUAUGGUACGGAUAGCAAUAGGUAAAUUCUAAAUGGGUUAUGUGAUGGGUUUGGCUAGUUUAUAUCUAAUAGGGUUCAGGUUUGUGCAGCGUUAUUUUCAUAGGUACCCUAUCCGUUUGACAUCCCUAGGGGCAAUAAGUCACUUAACUCAUAAUGGUUCUAAGAAUCAAAAUAAGGCUAGGUUGAGAAGUGAUUUUCUAGAGGAAGUCAUUGAAUUGCAGAACUUAACUGCAUGGUGUUUCAUGUUCAAUUCUUCUUCAUAAAUACCUUAACCUGGAUUUUUGCAUUGUCUUCCAUCAGAGACGGAGAUUGACAUAAUUAUGUUAUUUCGCGUCACUAAGUGAAUGUGUGUUGUUGUCUUCAGGUUGAGGUCUAUAAUUAUUUCGGUUUGUCCAAUCUUUACUUGAUAAGAAUUCAGCAUACUCUUUCAUUUUUUCAAUUGAAAUUAGUCGAAUUCAUCAAAACUAUAUAAUUGUCCAUUUUGCUUUUCAUUAUUUAUUUAUUCCCUUUCUUGGUUUUUAAGCUUCUUUUAAUGCCAAUCUAUCAAAG
This 686-nucleotide unclassified non-coding RNA is filed under the name Hevea brasiliensis (rubber tree). The record is from RNAcentral. Lineage: Eukaryota; Viridiplantae; Streptophyta; Magnoliopsida; Malpighiales; Euphorbiaceae.